AGAGUUUGAUCCUGGCUCAGGAUGAACGCUAGCGGCAGGCUUAACACAUGCAAGUCGAGGGGCAGCGCGGGUAGCAAUACCUGGCGACCGGCGGAAGGGUGCGUAACGCGUGAGCAACUUGCCCGUAUCAGGGGGAUAAGCAUUGGAAACGAUGUCUAAUACCCCAUAACAACAGAGGCUGCAUGACCUUUGUUUGAAAGUUUCGGCGGAUACGGAUAGGCUCGCGAGACAUUAGCUAGUUGGCGGGGUAACGGCCCACCAAGGCGACGAUGUCUAGGGGUUCUGAGAGGAAGGUCCCCCACAUUGGAACUGAGACACGGUCCAAACUCCUACGGGAGGCAGCAGUGAGGAAUAUUGGUCAAUGGCCGAAAGGCUGAACCAGCCAUGCCGCGUGCAGGAAUAAGGCCCUAUGGGUCGUAAACUGCUUUUGUGGUGGAGCAAUAAGACGUACGCGUACGUCGAUGAGAGUACAUCACGAAUAAGCAUCGGCUAACUCCGUGCCAGCAGCCGCGGUAAUACGGAGGAUGCAAGCGUUAUCCGGAUUUAUUGGGUUUAAAGGGUGCGUAGGCAAAGGGUGCGUAGGCUGUUUGUCAAGUCAGGGGUGAAAUACCUGAGCCUAACUCAGGAACUGCCUUUGAUACUGGCAGGCUGGAAUACGGAUGCCGUGGGAGGAAUGAGUAGUGUAGCGGUGAAAUGCAUAGAUAUUACUCAGAACACCGAUUGCGAAGGCAUCUCACGAAUCCGUCAUUGACGCUGAGGCACGAAAGCGUGGGGAUCAAACAGGAUUAGAUACCCUGGUAGUCCACGCAGUAAACGAUGAUAACUAACCGUCGGCGAUAUAGUGUCGGUGGCCAAGCGAAAGCGAUAAGUUAUCCACCUGGGGAGUACGUUCGCAAGAAUGAAACUCAAAGGAAUUGACGGGGGCCCGCACAAGCGGAGGAACAUGUGGUUUAAUUCGAUGAUACGCGAGGAACCUUACCCGGGCUCGAACGGCAGGUGAAGAGAUCCAGAGAUGGUGACGUCCUUCGGGACACCUGUCGAGGUGCUGCAUGGUUGUCGUCAGCUCGUGCCGUGAGGUGUCGGCUCAAGUGCCAUAACGAGCGCAACCCUUGUCGUCAGUUGCCAUCAGGUGAAGC
Molecule: ribosomal RNA, 1136 nt
Filed under: uncultured Bacteroidales bacterium
Lineage: Bacteria; Pseudomonadati; Bacteroidota; Bacteroidia; Bacteroidales
Description: bacterial SSU rRNA
Rfam family: Bacterial small subunit ribosomal RNA
Source: RNAcentral